UGGACAGAUUAUUGUAUUCGACUGUAUUCAUGGCGUGAAAUAGGGGAUUACACUAUUUUUAAACGGAAAGUGAAUCCAUUAACAUAAUCGACUUCU
RNAcentral lists this microRNA precursor (96 nucleotides) under Nicotiana sylvestris (wood tobacco). RNAcentral's name for it is "MIR6152 microRNA precursor family". It matches the Rfam family "MIR6152 microRNA precursor family". The record is from Rfam by way of RNAcentral. Lineage: Eukaryota; Viridiplantae; Streptophyta; Magnoliopsida; Solanales; Solanaceae. RNAcentral also lists the same sequence under 1 other name.